CCUACGGGUGGCAGCAGUGAGGAAUAUUGGUCAAUGGGCGCGAGCCUGAACCAGCCAAGUAGCGUGAAGGAUGACUGCCCUAUGGGUUGUACACUUCUUUUAUAUGGGAAUAAAACGUUCCACGUGUGGGCUUUUGUAUGUACCAUAUGAAUAAGGAUCGGCUAACUCCGUGCCAGCAGCCGCGGUAAUACGGAGGAUCCGAGCGUUAUCCGGAUUUAUUGGGUUUAAAGGGAGCGUAGGUGGAUUGUUAAGUCAGUUGUGAAAGUUUGCGGCUCAACCGUAAAAUUGCAGUUGAAACUGGCAGUCUUGAGUACAGUAGAGGUGGGUGGAAUUCGUGGUGUAGCGGUGAAAUGCUUAGAUAUCACGAAGAACUCCGAUUGCGAAGGCAGUUCACUGGACUGCAACUGACACUGAGGCUCGAAAGUGUGGGUAUCAAACAGGAUUAGAUACCCGGGUAGUC
RNAcentral lists this ribosomal RNA (460 nucleotides) under uncultured bacterium. RNAcentral's name for it is "partial 16S ribosomal RNA". It matches the Rfam family "Bacterial small subunit ribosomal RNA", at positions 338 to 795 of the family's 1533-position model. The record is from RNAcentral.